Molecule: transfer RNA, 69 nt
Filed under: Rhynocoris fuscipes
Lineage: Eukaryota; Metazoa; Arthropoda; Insecta; Hemiptera; Reduviidae
Description: tRNA-Ser
Source: RNAcentral
AAGGGAAAGGUGUGCCUAAAAGAAGCUGCUAACUAUCUUUUAAAGCGGUUAAAUUCCGUUUUUCCCUUA